This 117-nucleotide ribosomal RNA is filed under the name Sinocyclocheilus rhinocerous. Lineage: Eukaryota; Metazoa; Chordata; Actinopteri; Cypriniformes; Cyprinidae. The record is from RNAcentral.
GUGUGUAGCCAUAUCACCCUGCAGCCCAAGACUGGUUGCCCACUGAAGCUAAGCAGGGUUGAGCCUGGUCAGUACCUGGAUGGGAGACCUCCUGGGAAAACUAGGUUGCUGCUGGAA